CCUACGGGGGGCUGCAGUGAGGAAUAUUUGUCAAUGGGCGUAAGCCUGAACCAGCCACGUCGCGUGAGGGAUGAAGGUUCUAUGGAUCGUAAACCUCUGUUAUAAGGGAAUAAAGUGUGGGACGUGUCCUGUUUUGUAUGUACCUUAUGAAUAAGGAUCGGCUAACUCCGUGCCAGCAGCCGCGGUAAUACGGAGGAUCCGAGCGUUAUCCGGAUUUAUUGGGUUUAAAGGGUGCGUAGGCGGCGUUGUAAGUCAGCGGUGAAAGUCUGUGGCUCAACCAUAGAAUUGCCGUUGAAACUGGGAGGCUUGAGUAUGUGUGAGGCAGGCGGAAUGCGUGGUGUAGCGGUGAAAUGCUUAGAUAUCACGCAGAACCCCGAUUGCGAAGGCAGCCUGCCAAGCCAUGACUGACGCUGAUGCACGAAAGCGUGGGGAUCAAACAGGAUUAGAUACCCCGGUAGUC
RNAcentral lists this ribosomal RNA (460 nucleotides) under uncultured bacterium. Its description in RNAcentral is "partial 16S ribosomal RNA". It matches the Rfam family "Bacterial small subunit ribosomal RNA", at positions 338 to 795 of the family's 1533-position model. The record is from RNAcentral.